Long non-coding RNA from Oncorhynchus nerka (sockeye salmon), 2332 nucleotides. RefSeq lists it as uncharacterized. The transcript is spliced from 2 exons. Lineage: Eukaryota; Metazoa; Chordata; Actinopteri; Salmoniformes; Salmonidae. The record is from RefSeq and is a predicted model, not a curated record.
GUUUAUGAGGUAGGACUGUGUUUAUGAGGUAGGACUGUGUUUGAGGUAGGACUGUGUUUAUGAGGUAGGACUGUGUUUGAGGUAGGACUGUGUUUAUGAGGUAGGACUGUGUAUGAGGUAGAAACGUGUUUAUGAGGUCGCCUGUGUUUAUGAGGUAGGACUGUGUUUAUGAGGUAGGACUGUGUAUGAGGUAGGACUGUGUAUGAGGUAGAAACGUGUUUAUGAGGUCGCCUGUGUUUAUGAGGUAGGACUGUGUUUAUGAGGUAGGACUGUGUUUAUGAGGUAGGACUGUGUUUAUGAGGUAGGACUGUGUUUGAGGUCGCCUGUGUUUAUGAGGUAGGACUGUGUUUGAGGUAGGACUGUGUUUGAGGUAGGACUAUGUUUGAGGUAGGACUGUGUUUAUGAGGUAGGACUGUGUUUAUGAGGUCGCCUGUGUUUAUGAGGUAGGACUGUUUAUGAGGUAGGACUGUUUAUGAGGUAGGACUGUGUUUGAGGUAGGACUGUGUUUAUGAGGUCGCCUGUGUUUAUGAGGUAGGACUGUGUUUAUGAGGUCGCCUGUGUUUAUGAGGUAGGACUGUGUUUAUGAGGUAGGACUGUGUUUGAGGUAGGACUGUGUUUGAGGUAAAAACAUGUUUAUGAGGUAGGACUGUGUUUGAGGUAGGACUGUGUUUGAGGUAGGACUGUGUUUAUGAGGUAGGACUGUGUUUAUGAGGCCGCCUGUGUUUAUGAGGUAGGACUGUGUUUAUGAGGUAGGACUGUGUUUAUGAGGUAGGACUGUGUUUGAGGCCGCCUGUGUUUAUGAGGUAGGACUGUGUUUAUGAGGUAGCCUGUGUUUAUGAGGUAGCCUGUGUUUAUGAGGUAGCCUGUGUUUAUGAGGUAGGACUGUGUUUGAGGUAGGACUGUGUUUAUGAGGUAGGACUGUGUUUAUGAGGUCGCCUGUGUUUAUGAGGUCGCCUGUGUUUAUGAGGUAGGACUGUGUUUAUGAGGUAGGACUGUGUUUGAGGUAGGACUGUGUUUAUGAGGUCGCCUGUGUUUAUGAGGUAGGACUGUGUUUGAGGUAGGACUGUGUUUAUGAGGUAGGACUGUGUUUGAGGUAGGACUGUGUUUAUGAGGUCGCCUGUGUUUAUGAGGUAGGACUGUGUUUAUGAGGUCGCCUGUGUUUAUGAGGUAGGACUGUGUUUAUGAGGUAGGACUGUGUUUAUGAGGUAGGACCGUGUUUAUGAGGUCGCCUGUGUUUAUGAGGUAGGACUGUGUUUAUGAGGUAGGACUGUGUUUAUGAGGUAGGACCGUGUUUAUGAGGUAGCCUGACCACCCGCCACCACUACGCCACCAAUACCACACCAAUUGAUGGUCUCUGGGAGCACAAUGCUUUCUCAACGUUUUCAAACCAGGCACAUUGAUGAAUGUGGAUUAGGAUUCUAUGGAAGUGCAGGUCCUGCGUUUACACCUCCAGCCCAAUUCUGAUUAUUUUUCCACAAAUUGGUCUUUUGAUCAAUCAGAUCAGCUCUUUUGCCAAUAACUGGGCAAAAGAUCACAAUUGGGCUGCCUGUGUAAACACAGCCAACUGGCAAUUAUUGUUCAGAUUAAAUAUUUAAAGAUGAGCCUUUAUGUCCCUGCCGCGCAUUGGCUCUGUCACGGACGUCCUCCUCUUCAUCUGAAGAGGAGAGGUGAGAAGGAUCGGAGGACCAAAAUGUGGCGUGGUAUGUGUUCAUCAUGAAUUUUAAUAAAGAAACCACUGAAACACACUAUACAAAAACAAUUCAACGAAAUAACGACCGUGAAGCUAAUGAGAACUGUGCUGACACCAGCAAUCAACAUAGACAAUCACCCACAAACAAACAGUGCAACCCAGGCUACCUAAGUAUGAUUCUCAAUCAGAGACAACUAAUGACACCUGCCUCUGAUUGAGAACCAUCCUAGGCCGAAACAUAGAAAUCCCAAAAUCAUAGAAAAACUGAGCCCGUCUGACUUUCUUCUCUAAAUCUUUUGGCUUCAUUAUUGAAAUAUUAUUUCCACAAUUUAAAAACAUAUUUAAACUUUAUUCAGUAAUGAAACUAAUCUAAAAAAUAAUCAGUUGGUACUAAUACGCUUCUGUAGGAUUACUCCCAUGGUGAUCCUUGAGGGGUAUAUAUAUAGAUAUAGAGAGAGAGAGUGUGCAAAGCUGUCAUCAAGGCAAAGGGAGGCUAUUUGAAGAAUCUCAAAUAUAAAAUAUAUUUUGAUUUGUUUAACACUUUUUUUUGGUUACUACAUGAUUCCAUAUGUGUUAUUUCAGUGUUGUGAUGUCUUCACUAUUAUUCUACAAUGUAAAAAUAAAGAAAACCCCUUGAAUGAG